GCUAAUCCUGAUAUUUAUUCAUUAGGGUUUGCCAAGGUUAAAUCACGUAGACAGCAAUAUGAAAAUAUUUUAUGGUAUUUUGACAGGUUGGGGGAAAAAACCCAGAGUGAAGCCUCCGGGGGCCGGGUCUCUCACACCUUAAAGUUCAAGAAACGCCCCUGUUGCCAACCCUGGACCUGGAGAACCCUCUGUCCUUCACAUUUUAACGGAGAAUGGUAUUUUCAUGAGAAACUGGAUCUGAGAAGUAACGAGACAAGAAUACAUCAGAGACACCAGCACGUCCUGUUCUAAACCGCCGGAGAUUAAAGUCUGUUCCAUUGUUUUAAAUGUUAGAAAUGUUAGGAAACUGCGUUUUUUUUU
Molecule: long non-coding RNA, 360 nt
Organism: Ictalurus punctatus (channel catfish)
Lineage: Eukaryota; Metazoa; Chordata; Actinopteri; Siluriformes; Ictaluridae
Source: Ensembl